GCGAUGGUGUUAUAGGGGUGAGCAUAGCUGCUUGCCAACCAGUUGAGCCAGGUUUGAAUCCUGGCUGUCCCA
Molecule: non-coding RNA, 72 nt
Organism: Ataeniobius toweri
Lineage: Eukaryota; Metazoa; Chordata; Actinopteri; Cyprinodontiformes; Goodeidae
Source: the annotation of a GenBank genome assembly